AACCAUAGAAACCUGCGGAGUACCUGCGGAGGGAUCAUUACCGAGUUUCCAAAACUCCCAACCCAUGUGAACUUUACCUAUCGUUGCCUCGGCGGGAAGCCCCGGCGCCCACACCCGGGCCCGGACCCAGGCGCCCGCCGCAGGACCCCUCAACUCGUGUCUCUCUGGAGCAUCGUCUGAGUGAGAAAACAAAUAAAUCAAAACUUUCAACAACGGAUCU
Molecule: unclassified non-coding RNA, 220 nt
Filed under: soil metagenome
Description: partial contains 5.8S ribosomal RNA, internal transcribed spacer 2, and large subunit ribosomal RNA
Source: RNAcentral